Molecule: non-coding RNA, 128 nt
Filed under: Streptomyces albus subsp. albus DSM 41398
Lineage: Bacteria; Bacillati; Actinomycetota; Actinomycetes; Kitasatosporales; Streptomycetaceae
Description: Streptomyces RNA 6925
Rfam family: Streptomyces RNA 6925
About the family: Identified by deep sequencing of transcriptome at the end of exponential growth phase.
Source: Rfam by way of RNAcentral
UUGCAGUUGCCACGCUGACGUGCCCCGUCGCAUAAGGGGUCAGCGUGGUGACGGUGUGCGGUCCGCCCUCCGGGGCGGGUGCCGCUCGGCGUCCGGUGUCCGGGAGUUACCGCUCCCGGACACCGGAC